This 388-nucleotide ribosomal RNA is filed under the name uncultured bacterium. RNAcentral describes it as "bacterial SSU rRNA". It matches the Rfam family "Bacterial small subunit ribosomal RNA", at positions 30 to 416 of the family's 1533-position model. The record is from RNAcentral.
AUUGAACGCUGGCGGCAUGCCUUACACAUGCAAGUCGAACGGCAGCACGGGAGCUUGCUCCUGGUGGCGAGUGGCGAACGGGUGAGUAAUACAUCGGAACGUACCCUGAAGUGGGGGAUAACGUAGCGAAAGUUACGCUAAUACCGCAUAUUCUGUGAGCAGGAAAGAGGGGGAUCGCAAGACCUCUUGCUUUAGGAGCGGCCGAUGUCGGAUUAGCUAGUUGGUGAGGUAAAGGCUCACCAAGGCGACGAUCCGUAGCGGGUCUGAGAGGAUGAUCCGCCACACUGGGACUGAGACACGGCCCAGACUCCUACGGGAGGCAGCAGUGGGGAAUUUUGGACAAUGGGCGCAAGCCUGAUCCAGCCAUGCCGCGUGUGUGAAGAAGGCC